AUCAAUACUCAUCCAUAUCAAUACAUAUCGAUACUACUCAAUACACGUUAAUCCUCAGUAUCAAUAUCAAUACUCAUCAGGGUCCUGUUCUUUGUAAUCCAGACUAGUGUGUUGCUGUCAGGUUCAAUUGAUCCUGUUAACGUUCAUUCACAUUGAUUGAUUACUUAUUCUGACAGGAAGUUAGCUUAAAUAACAGUGUGCUCUUAUUUUGAAAUGUCACAGAUCAGUUAAAGUAACAACCUGAAACACAUCAAUCAGUCGUCAAUAUGAUCAAAGGAUUUAACAAUUACAGUAACAUUCAUAAGAACUACAGUAACAUUCAUAAGAACUACAGUAACAUUCAUAAGAACUACAAGAACUACAGUAACAUUCAUAAGAACUACAGUAACAUUCAUAAGAACUACAGUAACAUUUAUAAGAACUACAAGAACUACAGUAACAUUCAUAAGAACUACAGUAACAUUUAUAAGAACUACAGUAACAUUCAUAAGAACUACAAGAACUACAGUAACAUUCAUAAGAACUACAGUAACAUUUAUAAGAACUACAAGAACUACAGUAACAUUCAUAAGAACUACAGUAACAUUUAUAAGAACUACAAGAACUACAGUAACAUUCAUAAGAACUACAGUAACAUUUAUAAGAACUACAGUAAUGGAAGUAACAACUACAGUAACAUUCAUAAGAACUACAAGAACUACAGUAACAUUCAUAAGAACUACAGUAACAUUUAUAAGAACUACAGUAAUGGAAGUAACAACUACAGUAACAUUCAUAAGAACUACAAGAACUACAGUAACAUUCAUAAGAACUACAGUAACAUAAGAACUACAGUAACAUAAGAACUACAGUAACAUAAGAACUACAGUAACAUUUAUAAAAACUACAGUAAUGGAAGUAACAACUACAGUAACAUUCAUAAAAACUACAGUAACAAGAACUACAGUAACAUUCAUAAAAACUACAGUAACAAGAACUACAGUAACAUUCAUAAAAACUACAGUAACAAGAACUACAGUAACAUUCAUAAAAACUACAGUAACAAGAACUACAGUAACAUUCAUAAAAACUACAGUAACAAGAACUACAGUAACAUUCAUAAAAACUACAGUAACACAAGAACUACAGUAACAUUCAUAAAAACUACAGUAACACAAGAACUACAGUAACAUUCAUAAAAACUACAGUAACAUAAGAACUACAGUAACAUUCAUAAAAACUACAGUAACAUGAGAACUACAGUAACAUUCAUAAAAACUAUAGUAACAUUCAUAAAAACUACAGUAACGAGAACUACAGUAACGAGAACCACAGUAACAUUCAUAAAAACUACAGUAACGAGAACUACAGUAACAUUCAUAAAAACUACAGUAACGAGAACUACAGUAACGAGAACCACAGUAACAUUCAUAAAAACUACAGUAACGAGAACUACAGUAACAUUCAUAAAAACUACAGUAACGAGAACUACAGUAACAUUCAUAAAAACUACAGUAACGAGAACUACAGUAACGAGAACCACAGUAACAUUCAUAAAAACUACAGUAACAAGAACUACAGUAACAUUCAUAAAAACUACAGUAACAAGAACUACAGUAACAUUCAUAAAAACUACAGUAACAUGAGAACUACAGUAACAUUCAUAAAAACUACAGUAACGAGAACUACAGUAACAUUCAUAAAAACUACAGUAACAUAAAAACUACAGUAACAUUCAUAAAAACUACAGUAACAUUCAUAAAAACUACAGUAACAUAAGAACUACAGUAACAU
Molecule: long non-coding RNA, 1773 nt
Organism: Dicentrarchus labrax (European seabass)
Lineage: Eukaryota; Metazoa; Chordata; Actinopteri; Moronidae
Exons: 2
Source: RefSeq, a predicted model, not a curated record